Triticum aestivum (bread wheat) is the source of this 115-nucleotide non-coding RNA. The record is from Rfam. NCBI's taxonomy places the organism in Eukaryota, Viridiplantae, Streptophyta, Magnoliopsida, Poales, Poaceae.
CAAGUAUGCCCUCCGUCCGGAAUUACUUGUCAUCAAAAUGGAUGUGUCUAGAACUAAAAUACAUCUAGAUACAUACAUUUCAAUGACAAGUAUUUUCGGACAAAGGGAGUACAAG